RNAcentral lists this unclassified non-coding RNA (246 nucleotides) under Glomus sp. RNAcentral describes it as "partial contains 5.8S ribosomal RNA and internal transcribed spacer 2". The stretch from base 1 to 65 matches the Rfam family "5.8S ribosomal RNA", at positions 84 to 154 of the family's 154-position model. The record is from RNAcentral. Lineage: Eukaryota; Fungi; Glomeromycota; Glomeromycetes; Glomerales; Glomeraceae.
GUGAAUCAUCGAAUUUUUGAACGCAAAUUGCACUCUCCUCGGAGAGUAUGCCUGUUUGAGGGUCAGCCUAUAAAAUUGACAUCGUUGCUGUUUUGCGGUGGGGUUUGUCGGGAAAUGGGGCAUUUUUAAACCUUUUGGUUUUUGAGACUUAAAAUUUUUUUUUGUUUGCUUGAAUGAUUCUAAGAACUAUUUCUUUAUACGUUUAAGGUAUCGAUUUUUACUAGAUGUGACUAUCAUAUCGGAUCG